Siniperca chuatsi (mandarin fish) is the source of this 1054-nucleotide long non-coding RNA. RefSeq lists it as uncharacterized. The transcript has 2 exons. NCBI's taxonomy places the organism in Eukaryota, Metazoa, Chordata, Actinopteri, Centrarchiformes, Sinipercidae. The record is from RefSeq and is a predicted model, not a curated record.
UCUUGCAUAUGUCCCCUGAGGACUGGGCUGACUGUGCAGCACUGCACCCGGACAAGACAAAACCCCCAUCAACAUUCACCCUGUUUGUUUGUUUUUUUUGGUGUUGUUUUUGUUUGUUUUUUUCCUUCCCACCCUCUAUUUUCAUGCAUAAGUUUUCAUGAUAAACAGGAAAUUCAUGAAUAUAUGGAGUGAUACAGUGAGAAAUGGAGGAGGGGUAGAGAGAGGGGUGAGGUGAAGGAUGAGAAAGAGGAGUGAACAGUCAAAGCCAAAGAGUGAGCCGAGACUGGGAGGGAAUUAUGUAGACAGCAGGAUGCACACACACACACACACACACACACACACACACGCACACAAGCAGAUGCAGUCACAUACAUUUACACACACACGACUUAGCAUUGCAGGUGAACUGGGGUCCCUCCGCUGUUUGACAGGAGGCAGCGUCUCCCCGGAGCAGCAGGUACACGUGGCGAUGGUGAUGAUGAUGAUGGUUGUGGUUGUUAGCGUGCUGGAGUCUGUCCUUCUCCUGCUCCCCGGGUCCCUCCUGCUGCAGCCGUUCCUCAUCAGUCGAGAGGAGAGCCCGACCCUUCUAAUGACUCCCAUCGACACUGACGCCCGCCAUAAGCAGCCGGGGCAGGAAGAAACAAGCGUGAAACUCGGCUGGCCGACUCUCUGAGGAGGAGGAAGCUGAGAGAACUCAUUUGCAUAUAAACUGUGAGAGGCAGGGAUUGUCAUCGGCGGCACAUUAGACGCAAGGAGCGCGAAGGGAGAGGAUUUUCAUGUGCAAAUUUCAGCCUCGCCAACUCUGUGCAUUAUUAUUUCAUCAGCGCCUAAGAAGGAAACCCCUCCGAUCCCCAAAUCCCGCCAUCAUCCCCACGGACACUUCAAGAUUCAGACCAAAUUCCCCCGCCGUGCCUCUUCCCCAGAAGGCCCCACUACUGAGCAGCUGUUUACACCGGGGCCCACAAUGCAGGAGGAGUCAAUCCGCCUCUGCGACGGCGUGAGAUCAGAUAAGAGGGAACCGCAGGAAAAGGGAACAGAUAUACACCAGUUGUGA